This is a small nucleolar RNA of Lathyrus oleraceus (garden pea), 107 nucleotides long. The record is from RefSeq and is a predicted model, not a curated record. NCBI's taxonomy places the organism in Eukaryota, Viridiplantae, Streptophyta, Magnoliopsida, Fabales, Fabaceae.
AUCCUAAGGUGGGGACAUUAUCUAAGAAACUCUUUAAAUAUUUCUGAAGCAUCAAAUAAAGAUUCAUCACCUCCUUGUCUAAAUGAAGUGAUCUCAUUCCUCAUCUU